CUAGCUUGCUUUUCUCCCAUCAGCCUACCGACUUGAAAUUCAUUUUUAAAGCAUGGGGGUCCCCGUGUCCCCUCCCCCGCUGUGUCUGGUGUUUUGCUGUUCUAUAUUUUAGAAAGGUGGGGAGGAAGAAAGGGGGUUUGGGAGAUUUUCAAGGAUUGUGAUAAAGGGGAAAGUAAUUUUAGCAUUUUAGCUUUUCCCCAGUAAAAGAGAUUGAUGUCGGGAGGGGAGAGUGUUUGUUGGCAAUAUGUAGAGAAUGGAGUCAAAUGAGAUCACAGAAAGAAGACCGGAUAUGAGCAAAAAGGACCGACCGCACUGCCAAGAGGGGAGAAAGGUGGAUCCCUAGAAGACACGCUGGUAAGCCUGGUGAUGUUCCUCAGCUACAUUUGAAAAUGCUAACAUGUAUUGUGUCUUUCUGUUGAGAAGCGUUUCCACUUAUUGUUCGGCUAAGGCCCAUCAGGUGCAGCAGGAAGUCUGUUAGGAGCCCGCCAGUGGAGCACAGGUGAGUAAAAGGCAGCCUUAGUUGAGUUCAGGUGCUUUAUCCUCUGGCUGGGGAGGGGUAAAGUACUCAGGAGGUUGUAAGUCCAUGUCUUUAAAGCACUGCCUGUUAGAGGAUUUUGCAAGACUUGCUGGACAAUGUGGAUGCCUUAGUAGCAGGGAUCUCAACAGUGCCUGCCCUUAGCAGCUGUGAUACUCUUGGUAAGUUGCUUCACUUAUCUGUGCCUUACCUACACAACUGAGGUAGGACUAGUACAGCCUCGUAACGUGUGAACCAUGAGUGUGUGUAAAAGGCCCACACUUAGGAAGAAUUCCCCAGAUUGGAGCUGUUCCACUUGGUGGUAUUGCUGCUAAUAGUAGUCCACGCACAGAAGAGCAUUCUGGGCAAAGCAGACAGCUUGUGCAAAAGGACUCGAGACACAAGAGCCCAGUUGUUAAGGAGAAUGGUAGGGAACUGAGCAGAGACCUUGAAGUCCUUUUAAGGCCAAGUUACAGGGUUGGACCUUUUCGUUAAGGUCCUGGGAAGUUUUUACAGUGUUUUUGAAAAGUCAAGUAAUGACAUUCAGAUUUCACUUCAGGAAAUAAAGUACGUUGACCUUCCUAAGAACCCUGUGAAGCAAGUUCAGAAGGUGGACUCUCACCGUUUUUAGUAGAACAGACUGAGUAAGGCCUGGAGUUACAAAAAAUUACCAGCUUGAAAAUGUCCAAUUGAUUACAAAACCGUGCUCUAUUACACAUUUUGCCAUUUUUAAAUGAACAUGUGUUUUCUGAUGUCUUGGGUAGGAAAGUGGUGUUUAUAGUGAGACAAUAGGGGUUGAAUAGAUCCGUGCCAGAUUAGGUCUAUCACUCCAACCUUCUUUGAAAAUCUACUAUAUACUGUGUGCCGAGGAUGUUCUGUGCUAGGCUCUGAUACACCAAAUCAUGCAAGAUGCAGUCUUGGCCGGCACCGCGGCUCACUAGGCUAAUCCUCUGCCUGCAGCGCCGGCACACCAGGUUCUAGUCCCAGUUGGGGCACCGGAUUCUUUCCCGGUUGCUCCUCUUCCAGUUUAGCUCUGUUGUGGCCCGGGAAGGCAGUGGAGGAUGGCCCAAGUGCUUGGGCCCUGCACCCGCAUGGGAGACGAGGAGGAAGCACCUGGCUCUUGGUUUUGGAUCAGCGCAGCGCUGCGGCCUUAGCAGCCAUUUGGGGGUGAACCAACGGAAGGAAGACCUUUCUCUCUCUCUCUCUCUCUCUCUCUCUCUCUAACUGCCUGUCAAAAAAAAAAAAAAAGAUACAGUCUUCGUCUUUAAGAGUUACUGGAGGUCAUAAAGAUGUAUAAAGAUAAAGCAAAUCAUCCCUCAGGACCAAAUUUGAUGAAGUUUUCUAUUAAAUUCUUGUGAACUGCGUAGAAAAAAAAAUAAUACUAAGGAACUACUGCUAGGUGACUUCAGUACUCUUUGAUUAGUUGUAAUCCAAAUGUUAAUAAAACUGGAUUGGAGUCCUUGAACAAUUUCCAGAGGGUAUUGAUAUAUGUCAGAAUACUCUUUACUGCCCUCCUUUUGGACUCUAUCUUAAGCUUCUUUAUGUAAAAAUUUUGAGUACUGCCAAGAUGACGAAGUUACCCCCACAGCAGAUUCAGCAGACUUUGCAGUGUGCUGCGAAACCAGUCAGGAUAGAUAAUGCGAUAAAUGACAGCUGAGGAUCCGUGAACCUCUGUCUGCUGGAAAAAUAGACAAUGCCAACAAACUUAAUACAGGUAAAUGUUAAGUUUUUGGCUCUGAUUAAACUGAAAGAAACAGUACACACACUCAUGGAUGAUGCAGUCUUCUCACUCCACCCAAAAGCAGGUUGCCAGUGUGUUUUUUUUGUUGUUGGUUUUUGUUUUUUGUUUUUUGUUUUUUUUUUUUUUCAAAAAGCUUUAAAAUGUUCAUUGCCUUUCAGUUGUUACUAUUCCGCUUGGCAAACAAAUCCCAAGAAAGUAGCUGUUGUAAGUUUUGUUACCAAUAUAUUCAAUUCAGUAACAGGAGAGUUGAAAGAAAAGGUAGCAAAUAAACUAGAUUGAAACUACAGGAAUGGCUAAAUAAAAUGGACUAUCCACUUGGAAUAUUAUGCAACUAUUAAAAAUAAUAGCCAUUAAAUCUUUUAACUUUAUGACACAGUGUAUCUUUUAUGUUUAAUAUGAUACAAAAUUGUGCUGUAUUAUAAGGGUAUACCAAGACUAGAGCCAUGGCUCAAUAGGCUAAUCCUCCACCUAGCGGCGCCAGCACACCGGGGUUCUAGUCCCGGUGGUGGUGCCGGAUUCUUUCCCGGUUGCCCCUCUUCCAGGCCUGCUCUCUGCUGUGGCCCGGGAAGGCAUUGGAGGAUGGCCCGAGUGCUUGGGCCCUGCACCCCAUGGGAGACCAGGAGAAGCACCUGGCUCUUGCCUUCGGAUCAGCACGGUGUGCCGGCCGCAGCGCGCCAGCCAUGGCGGCCAUUGGAGGGUGAACCAACGGCAAAAGGAAGACCUUUCUCUCUGUCUCUCUCUCUCUCACUAUCCACUCUGCCUGUCAAAAAAAAAAAGGGGGGGGGGGUGUAUAACAAGAGACUAGUGAAAAUGUUAAAGUAGCUGCACCAAAAUAUUGAUUACAGUCUUAGUAAGGAGAUAAAAUGACAGGUUUUUCCUAUCUUUCCUCUAUUUCCCAAAUUUAUUACACAACUAUAUAAUCCUUCUAUUAUAGAUAAAGUAUUAAAAAUGUAUGUAAUUUAAUCUUCUAAUUCUGAGGAGUGGGUACAUGAUGUUAAUUAAAUUGUUCUCUACAAAAUUUUCACUAGCCCAGUGUGUCUCUUACUAUUCUAUGUGUUUAACAGUGAAUUUGUAUUAUACCAAGAAGGAUUCCAGUGUUGGGAAAGUUUGACAGCCACUGAGUAAACAUCUUUAAUUACAGCAGGUAUUUUUCAGAGCCUUUAGUAGUUAAAAGCAGGAUAUGUUAUGUACCAUGAGCCACAUCUUUAAACCACAGAACACUUUUCCUGUCUUAUCUUGUGGCAUUAUCAUCCUAGAACACUUGAGAAACGCCGUCAGUCGCCCGCUGUCUCUUUCCCUUUAGAACCUGUUCUCACAUUCUUCCCUAGUCUAAAGUCCCCAUCCCAGGCUUCUACCUUUCUUUCUUCUUACAGCCAUAAAAAGAAAGCACCCAGCACUAACCCUCUUCUGCAUAUUCUGAACUUCAUCCCCUGACACUUUCUGAGAAAUCCAGUUCUCUAUCGAGAAUCUUCUGACUCCCCUAGUCUCGUGGUUCCAGAUGGAAUGACAUGCACCUUGGCUCCAAGGCAGCGAACUGGCCCUGAAAUCACAGCACUCGUAUAUGGAGGAAGCUUGACAGAGACGUCCCCGAAUUUCACAGAAGUCCAGGAAGUUUACACAGCAUAACUAAUCAUGAGGUGCGAUGCAGACAUUUUGAACCGCUAAUAAAAAAGAAACUUUGAUUGACCAUG
Oryctolagus cuniculus (rabbit) is the source of this 3946-nucleotide non-coding RNA. The record is from RefSeq and is a predicted model, not a curated record. NCBI's taxonomy places the organism in Eukaryota, Metazoa, Chordata, Mammalia, Lagomorpha, Leporidae.